AACAAACAAACAAACAAAAACACUUUAUUUUUUAAAACGAAUAAAUUUGUCAAAGACAGCCUAUCAGCGAGUUUUCUUCCUGCGCGAGUCUACGCUGAUGCUGCGUGGAGAAGACACGUGUCCUGACGAGUUGUGAGGGAAAAUGUGCUUAGGUUAAGUUGGCGGGCGACGUUGGUGCUGAACACCUUGGAGCAGAUUCUCCAGACGGUCUUCUUCAUAUUUGGCCCGCCGCUGAUGGAUAAUCUGUUCACCUUCAACAGGUCUUACUGGUGUGGAACAACAUGAGGGUGAGUACUUAAUGACAAAUCUCAUUUUGGGGUGAACUAACCCUUUAAGAGACAUACUGGAGCUGAAAAUGGGGGAGUUGGAAAGUAAAAACCAUCAGCCUCAGCUUAUUUAAGUUUUCAUGAUGGCAUAAAACAAUAUAUGUACAAAAAUACUUUGUAGGUAACAUACUCUGUUCUCUUCCUUGGUGGCCACCUGAGGGUCUCAGGACAGAAAAGGUGUGCUCUAUGGAUUGAACAGAUGUAAUUAUAAGUAUUAGAUUGUUUAAAUGUUGUGAAUGUGUUUGAUUUCCUCAGGCCUAAUUAAUGCUCUUGUACCUUGUGUGUUAAGUGGAUCAACACCAUAGCCGGCUCCGUGAUGGUCUGGCUGAGAGAUGCCCAGUGUCGCUGAGAAAGGUGGAGCAGGUGGAUGAACACUCCAGCCGGCUCCGUGAUGGUCUGCCUGAGAGAUGCCCACAGUCGCUGAGAAAAUUGGAGUGGGUGGUCCCCUGAGGGUCUCAUGACAGAAAAGGUGGAUCAAUACUCCAACCGUCUCCGUGAUGGUCUGGCUGAGAAACACGCACUGGAGCUGCAAAAGGUGGAUUGUCAAUUUCGGGUUCUGAAUUUAUGUCGGAUGUAUAGCUGGCCUUCUUCCAGUUGUUGGCUACAUUUUGAAAAGAUGCUGAAAAAUGAAAUACAGGAUUCUUGUUUUAUGCCGGGUCCACCCCUUCUCUGGCUGUGGUGUCUCCAUGAUUUUAACACUCUUUAACAGCCUGUCAAUGUCUUUAUAUGGUGGCCACCAGGAGUAUCCGUCAGCAUACCAGGACUUGGCAACUGGUCCAGUCGUCCCUUCUCCCUCAAACUCCACUAUUAGAACUCGACGGUGGUUGAGAGAUCGUCAACUAAAUAAAUGCCGAGUGUAGAGGAUGGUAGGGGAUAGUCAAAAAAAGAUUCCUGAUGGUUGAAGGUGCUGUAAGCUACAUAAAUUUCAUCCCUGAAUGAAAUGAUAUUUUGCAGCUUUGCAACUUUACCGCCGAUGUAAACGUGACUGUUUGCCCGGUCCAAUUUAAGAGUGUAAGGGCUUGUCCUUAACUCUUUAUACUGUGUCGCUUCAUGAAAGGAUGCAGGUAGAGGACCAGUUGCAUGCUGUUUUUUGAGCAGAUGUGGCCUGGUUUUGUGAGGUUUUUUGCAGCUUCUUUGCAUCUCUGAGAAUCUUUUUAUUAUUUGACUCAGAGGGCAUGUUGGUUUCCUCAGAAGCCUUUUGAGUUUGUUCAGGUGAUUCUCAUACUUGAAAGCACUGAAGUUGUCUAGCACGCCAUGCUUUUUUGCAUCAUCUGCAAGAUGUACAAGGCAGUGUGCAUUAUAGGACAGGAAUUGUGGCCCAUACAGUUGACCGAAGUGAUUGACGAAGAGAACCAGUAUGUCAUUGGCAUAAUCACAGUAAUCUUCCAUCAGACUGUUGUUGCACAGGAUGAAGAUUCCCACAAAAAGCAGCAAGAAGUUUUUGUACACCUCUGUGGUAAGGAGAUCUUUCAACAUAACAGGUCCGGUAUACAGUAAAAACUGCCUGAACUCUGUUGCCUUCCACCUGUCAAUUUCCCUCAGUGCCCUUGGUUUCCUUGCGAACUCCAUGGGCACGCUUCUCUGAGCAUUCACUAACCUUUCUGUUAAUGUGUUUAUUUGAAAUCCCGACAGCCUACAAGUGAGAGGACCCAUCUUCAACCACAAGUGGAGAAGUCUUCUCAUGAUUCCGAGGCACACGAGGUGCAUGUAAUCGAGGGGGAUGCCAGAGACCAUGUCCAGGGAAGUUUGUUCAAGGGGUGACAUGCCAUGAUGGUGAUCAGAAUCGGUCUUGUUUCUGAAGCUCUCAUUGGUUCUUAGAGGCAUGUCGCUUCUUGGAAAUGUCAUCCUAUUUUUCAGGUACACUCCAUCCUGUGUGCAUUUUUCACAUCCAUGAUAGCCUGUGUGACCUUUGAUGUUUUUUAGGAAUGCACGAGCAGGUGCGUCGCAAACCAUCGAAGAAAGUUGUAAAGCUAACCUCACUCCUUCAAACUCAAAUCCAUUACCCAAUUCAUUUACUUCCGUGAUGAAGUCUUCAAGAUACUCGGUCAGUGAGGUAGGUUUACCUGUGCCACAAAAUAAACCUAUUGUCACUGGUUCUUCUUGUCUGAUAUUUUGCAGUGUUCCAAGAAUGGGCCAGAACUGUGUUGACGAACUCUUGUAGAGUGGCAGACCAUCGAUGUUGACCUGAAGCUCCAAUGUGUGAAUGUUGCUCAGAAUCUUGACAUUCUGAUGUAGCACCUCUGUGAUUGAAUUUAGUACUCCAAAAUGGUAAUACUGGCCACCAGCUUUGUGUUGUAUUUGAGGGUUCCCACGCACCGUUCCUAGCAACGUUCUUGAGUCUUUUGGCAGAUUCAAACUAUGUUGACGUAGUAUGUUUAGUAAUGAAUUUAAUGCCACGUGUGAGAUUUUGUUUUCAGUAGCCCAGGUUGCCAAAUCUUCUCCUAGGGAAGUUGGAUCGGUUUCAGACUCUGACUCGGGGUCUGAUUCACUGUCAUCAAGAACACUUGCCAUAUUGACAGCUUCAGUCUCGUCAAUCUGAGAGAGACAGUCCAUAAAUGUGUCUUCAUCAUCGAUUUGACAUUGACAGGCGUUACGGCAUGCGAUUGGCUGUUCGCUGCUGAUGUCACACUUUCAAGUGCGCGCGCUCCAAGAACUCCAGUUCAAAUCCCAAAUCGACGGAUGGACGGAGUUUGAUCGGCGUCAUGGUACCAGCAAAGCAUGCAUGUCUUGGUUUCGUGAACUUGACUAAAUCCCGUGAUCUUGACUGUGUGUUGCACUGCCAUCCUCGUACAGGCUCCUUCUGUGAUUCACCGAAGCGCGUCUGAAUUCAAGCUGGAAACGGCCUGUGCUUGGUCUGUCCCAGGGUGUCAUCGUCACUCACGAAGAAUUCUGUCCUGUUUGGUUUCCAUCAUCCAGACACUCUGGCAACUGGGCUGUGUAUGGAGGCCACCAUUUUCUCCCACAAACUCCACUCUCAGCUUUGAAGAUGGUUCAGCCUAGAUGCUCAGAUCUACCACUGGUCCAGCUUCAUUCCCACAUCUGGCACCAAAGAUUAAUUAAGUGCAGUCCAUAACCAGUGUGUGCACCUUGUCCAUUGCAAAUGUUAAGGAUUGUUCUAUUAGAGCUCAUUAUAAUCUUUGAGAUUGGCCUUAUGUAAAGGCUGUUGUGUGUUGUGAGUAAAGUUCACCCCCCUGUGAAACAGUU
Molecule: long non-coding RNA, 3530 nt
Organism: Megalobrama amblycephala (Wuchang bream)
Lineage: Eukaryota; Metazoa; Chordata; Actinopteri; Cypriniformes; Xenocyprididae
Exons: 12
Source: RefSeq, a predicted model, not a curated record